UUACACCCUCGCCGGGCAGGGAAUGAGACCCUCACUGAUGUCCGGACCCUGGGCAGUGGAAGGUGACGAGGACUCCAAAGGUUGGGCUGAAAGAUGCAAGACUGGGAUGCCCCCGCCCCGCCUACAGCUGAGAAUAAAGAAGAAACUGAGGCAGAGAGCAGCUAAGUCACUUAUCAAGGCCACAGCUGGUAAGUUGGCAAGAGACAGGACUGGAAUGCCAGGUCUGUUUAGCACCAGUCCUCUUUCCUUUCAGAUUCUUUGGAAUUUAAAACUUCUCCUACAUCCAUACCUAGUUUUUUCUUUGUAUCAUUCUCUCCCACCCACCUCCAUUUAGACUGAGACUAAAGGGCUUCACAUACAGCAGGAAAUAAAAGCAGAUCCAGGAUAAAUUUUCCUGUUGGGGUAAAGCCACAUGAUCAAUAAAAAAUGCUAGUUCGGUAUUUUUUUAAAAUCCUUUUUCCAUUGAUCUUUAGAGAGAGUGGAAGUGUGGGAAGGAAGAAGAGAGAGAAACAUUGGGGAUCAAACUUACAACCCAGGUAUGUGCCCUUGACUGGGAAUUGAACCCUUGACCCUUUGGUCUGUGGGCCUAUACUCUAACCACUGAACCAAACCGACAAGGGCAGUGAUUUUUUUUUUUUAAUCUUUUUUUAAGUCAUGGUCCCCUUUGAGAUACUAAUAAGGCAAAGGACCCUCUCCCUACAGAAAUACAUACAUUUUUGCAUAAUACUUCACAGGAGUCACAAAUUCCACCUCCCCAAUCUCAUCAACUAUCUGCCCAAAGGUAAUAGACACCCCUCCACCCCCAAUAUAUAUGUUCUGUUAAGAGGACCUAAAAAAAAAAUAGCUGUGGUCAGACUUGAUAAGCUCGCUAGUGGCCUGGGAAUAGUAGAGAUUAAACAGCAAUAAAGCCGGGGGCCAGUUGGUUGAGUUUCCUGCACACCAAAAGGUGGCGGGCUCAAAUCCUGGUCAGGGCACAUACCCAGGUUGCAGGUUCUAUCCCUGGUUGGGGCCUUUAUGGGAGGCAGCCAAUCAAUGUUUUUCUCUCACAUCGAUGUUUCUCUCCCCCCACCUCUCCCUCUCUCUAAAAAUCAAUUAAAUUUUUUUUUAAAAAUUCCAAAAUACCCCCCAAAACAAACAAACAAACAAACAAACAAAAAAGAGCAAUAAAGAUGCUAUUUUCCAAGUUAAGUUAUCUCACUAUUCAAGAACAGAUUAGAGGGAAUAAGGAGGCACCAACAUGCAGGGGAGGGUGUGUUUCUGAUGCAAUAAAACUACUGGGUGCCCUUUCUUCCAAAUUUCUCAUGUCAGACAAAGUUAAAAAAAAAAAAAGAA
This is a long non-coding RNA of Myotis daubentonii (Daubenton's bat), 1332 nucleotides long. RefSeq lists it as uncharacterized. The record is from RefSeq and is a predicted model, not a curated record. NCBI's taxonomy places the organism in Eukaryota, Metazoa, Chordata, Mammalia, Chiroptera, Vespertilionidae. The transcript is spliced from 2 exons.